This 514-nucleotide ribosomal RNA is filed under the name uncultured bacterium. RNAcentral describes it as "bacterial SSU rRNA". It matches the Rfam family "Bacterial small subunit ribosomal RNA", at positions 50 to 564 of the family's 1533-position model. The record is from RNAcentral.
AACACAUGCAAGUCGAGGGGUAUAGUUCUUCGGAGCUAGAGACCGGCGCACGGGUGCGUAACGCGUAUGCAAUCUGCCUUUCACAGAGGGAUAGCCCAGAGAAAUUUGGAUUAAUACCCCAUAGUAUUAUGGAGUGGCAUCACUUUAUAAUUAAAGUCACAACGGUGAAAGAUGAGCAUGCGUCCCAUUAGCUAGUUGGUAAGGUAACGGCUUACCAAGGCAACGAUGGGUAGGGGUCCUGAGAGGGAGAUCCCCCACACUGGUACUGAGACACGGACCAGACUCCUACGGGAGGCAGCAGUGAGGAAUAUUGGACAAUGGGCGCAAGCCUGAUCCAGCCAUGCCGCGUGCAGGAUGACGGUCCUAUGGAUUUGUAAACUGCUUUUGUACGAGAAGAAACACUCCUAUGUAUAGGAGCUUGACGGUAUCGUAAGAAUAANGAUCGGCUAACUCCGUGCCAGCAGCCGCGGUAAUACGGAGGAUCCAAGCGUUAUCCGGAAUCAUUGGGUUUAAA